GCUGUGGUAUGUGUCCGAUCACGUCGGCGUGCACUUCUCCUCUAGUAGAACGUCGCGACCCGCUGAGUGUCGGUUUAAGGGCCAGGAUCGUCGACUGUACCGUCGCUUCGGCGUUACGUGUGCAGACGCUUGGAUCCCCGACCGACUGCUCGGCGGUAUGCAUAAGGUAUCGAGCCGCACUCGAAUGCGUUCAGACUCGUUGCAAGCUGUGUCAUUAACCUGGAUGUGCGGAGCUGGUGCCGUACCUGGGAGUGAUCGGCUGUUGGUUGACGAUGUUCUCGAACCGGCUUACACUUGCUGUACAGCGAUACCGGUCGGCGACGCUAUUGCUUUGGGUACUUUCAGGACCCGUCUUGAAACACGGACCAAGGAGUCUAACAUGUGCGCGAGUCAUUGGGAUUAUUGAAACCUAAAGGCGCAUUGAAAGAGAAGAUCGGCCUCGCGUCGAUUGAGGGAGGAUGGGCUAACAUCUCGAUGUUGCUCCGCACUCCCGGGGCGUCUCGUGGUCAUUGCGACCUGAGGCGCACCCAGAGCGCACACGUUGGGACCCGAAAGAUGGUGAACUAUGCCUGGUCAGACGAAGUCAGGGAAACC
RNAcentral lists this ribosomal RNA (594 nucleotides) under Telenomus sp. CT-2012q. RNAcentral's name for it is "eukaryotic LSU rRNA". It matches the Rfam family "Eukaryotic large subunit ribosomal RNA", at positions 592 to 863 of the family's 3401-position model. The record is from RNAcentral. Lineage: Eukaryota; Metazoa; Arthropoda; Insecta; Hymenoptera; Scelionidae.